RNAcentral lists this ribosomal RNA (408 nucleotides) under uncultured bacterium. RNAcentral's name for it is "partial 16S ribosomal RNA". It matches the Rfam family "Bacterial small subunit ribosomal RNA", at positions 29 to 526 of the family's 1533-position model. The record is from RNAcentral.
AGUGAACGCUGGCAGCGUGCCUAAUACAUGCAAGUCGAACGAAGUGGCGCACGGGUUAGUAAUAUAUAGUUAAUCUGCGCUACCCAGAGGAACCACAGUUGGAAACGAAUGCUAAUACCUCCUAGUGUAGGAUGCGACUAUAUCGUAUCAGCUAGUUGGUAAGGUAAUGGCUUACCAAGGCUAUGACGCGUAACUGGUCUGAGAGGAUGAUGAGUCACAUUGGAAGUGAGAAACGGUCCAAAGGCCUACGGUAGGCAGCAGUAAGGAAUAGUGCGAAACGUGGGAAACCCUGACGUAGCAACGCCGCGUUGAGAAUGACACUUUUCGGAGCGUAAACUCCUUGUAUCAGGAAAGCGGUACCUGAUGACUAAGAACCGGCUAACUCCGUGCCAGCCGCCGCGGUAAUUC